UUUUUAAUAAUAAAGUAAAAAAAAUUAGAAAAAAAGUUAAACUAGACCCAAUUUCUCAAUAACUUUUCUUCUAUAUUUGCUCCAUCUUCAAUGACUUUCACUUCCGACUGAAUUCUAUCCAAAUGUCUCUAAUUGAAUACUCCUAGGAGGAAACUUUGAAUGCCACAACCAUAAAACCUCCCUCGCCGUACCCAGACUCACCAAAAUCGACCCCCAAUUUUUUGGAAAUCAUAGUUGUCGGUACCCACGGAUCUACAGUCGAAAUCGCAACCAGCGCCGGAAAUCACUACUCAAGCGGGAAAUUAAACACAUCUAGUCACGUUGUAUCAACAACCCAAAUCAAGUGACAACGAUUGACAUCUAAAAGCUUCUCUUUUAGCUCAGCCAUGACGAUCUCGAACAACGUGCGACUCUCUGAGCUCGGUUAGUGUUUUCCUUUUUUGUGAUGGAAGAGUACUUUUAACAUUUGAUUGAUGAGCUAUUAAUCGAAUUUGGGGGUUUGGGUUUUGAUUCGUUGCGAUUUAUGUAAUUAUGUGAAAAUAAGGAAUGAUUUUGAGUGGGUUUGUUAGAGAGAAAAGAAGAUUAAUGUUGUAAAUAAGAUUUUCUAUUUUGAGUGGGUUUAAGUUUUGAUUUGUUGCGAUUCACUGCUCCGUCGUCUCCGACGAUAUCGCCAGCGGGGAGCAUCAUCAAUUCAUCACCCAAGCUUUCGGCUUUUGAUGUUUGGGCUUCGAGAUUGUUAUUGAAUGAAUAAUAUAUUAACUCUUAUAAACAUAUUUAUAAGAUAGAAGUUUAGAGAUUUUUCUCUAUUUUUUAGUGUGUUUUAGAGAAGUUUGCCUUUUAUAGGCAAAGGAAAAGGACACAUAUCUAUCAACAUUAAUUAUAUCAUAGACUAGGUUAUUGGCCUAGUUUUAUAGCAAUUGAUUUGGAAGAAAAUCAUACUAUUAUAACACUCCCCUUUAAUUUUGUUAAGAUAGGAGAUUAUGUCUCGUUAAAAUCUUGUUAAGAAAAUUCAGUGGAAAAAAACUUAGCGAAGGAAAAAAGAGUACAUAUCUUCCCCUCAAAAGUUAUUCUUUGAUGAAAUGUUGUGAUAAGUCUUUUAGUCGAUGCAUUCCAAUCAUAUUUCGAAGUUUUGUAAACGUUACAUUUGGUAGUGAUUUUGUAAAUAAGUCGAUUAGAUUAUCGCAUGAUUGAAUUUAAUGCACAUCUAUAUCACCCUUCUUUUGCAGCUCAUGUGUAGAAAAUUUUUGGUGAAAUGUGUUUUGUUCCAUCUCCCUUGAUGUACCCUCCUCUAAGUUGAGCAAUGCAUGCAGCGUUAUCCUCAUACAUAACUGUAGGAAUAUCUUUGAUUGAUGGUAAUCCGCAUGACUCUUGGAUAUGCUGAAUAAUUGACCUCAACCAAAC
This 1401-nucleotide long non-coding RNA is filed under the name Panax ginseng (ginseng). Its description in RNAcentral is "long non-coding RNA (PGIN_LNC004515)". The record is from RNAcentral. Lineage: Eukaryota; Viridiplantae; Streptophyta; Magnoliopsida; Apiales; Araliaceae.